GAUGAACGCUGGCGGCGUGCCUAAUACAUGCAAGUCGAGCGAACAGGCGAGGAGCUUGCUCCUCUGACGUUAGCGGCGGACGGGUGAGUAACACGUGGAUAACCUACCUAUAAGACUGGGAUAACUUCGGGAAACCGGAGCUAAUACCGGAUAAUAUAUUGAACCGCAUGGUUCAAUAGUGAAAGACGGUUUUGCUGUCACUUAUAGAUGGAUCCGCGCCGCAUUAGCUAGUUGGUAAGGUAACGGCUUACCAAGGCAACGAUGCGUAGCCGACCUGAGAGGGGGAUCGGCCACACUGGAACUGAGACACGGUCCAGACUCCUACGGGAGGCAGCAGUAGGGAAGCUUCCGCAAUGGGCGAAAGCCUGACGGAGCAACGCCGCGUGAAUGAUGAAGGUCUGCGGAUCGUAAAACUCUGUUAUGAGGGAAGAACAAAUGUGUAAGUAACUAUGCACGUCUUGACGGGACCUAAUCAGAAAGCCACGGCGAACUACGU
RNAcentral lists this ribosomal RNA (496 nucleotides) under uncultured bacterium. Its description in RNAcentral is "partial 16S ribosomal RNA". It matches the Rfam family "Bacterial small subunit ribosomal RNA", at positions 28 to 506 of the family's 1533-position model. The record is from RNAcentral.